RNAcentral lists this ribosomal RNA (392 nucleotides) under Escherichia coli. RNAcentral describes it as "bacterial SSU rRNA". It matches the Rfam family "Bacterial small subunit ribosomal RNA", at positions 194 to 546 of the family's 1533-position model. The record is from RNAcentral. Lineage: Bacteria; Pseudomonadati; Pseudomonadota; Gammaproteobacteria; Enterobacterales; Enterobacteriaceae.
GGGGGACCUUCGGGCCUCUUGCCAUCGGAUGUGCCCAGAUGGGAUUAGCUAGUAGGUGGGGUAACGGCUCACCUAGGCGACGAUCCCUAGCUGGUCUGAGAGGAUGACCAGCCACACUGGAACUGAGACACGGUCCAGACUCCUACGGGAGGCAGCAGUGGGGAAUAUUGCACAAUGGGCGCAAGCCUGAUGCAGCCAUGCCGCGUGUAUGAAGAAGGCCUUCGGGUUGUAAAGUACUUUCAGCGGGGAGGAAGGGAGUAAAGUUAAUACCUUUGCUCAUUGACGUUACCCGCAGAAGAAGCACCGGCUAACUCCGUGCCAGCAGCCGCGGUAAUACGGAGGGUGCAAGCGUUAAUCGGAAGUUCCCGCGCAUACUCAUGCUGGCCUUUUCC